RNAcentral lists this non-coding RNA (106 nucleotides) under Pontibacter ummariensis. Its description in RNAcentral is "SAM-I sequence". It matches the Rfam family "SAM riboswitch aptamer (S box leader)". Rfam says of the family: The SAM riboswitch is found upstream of a number of genes which code for proteins involved in methionine or cysteine biosynthesis in Gram-positive bacteria. The record is from Rfam by way of RNAcentral. Lineage: Bacteria; Pseudomonadati; Bacteroidota; Cytophagia; Cytophagales; Hymenobacteraceae.
UUCUUAUCAAGAAAGACCGAGGGAUAGGGCCCUACGACGUCUUAGCAACCUUGUAAAAGCUUGGUGCUAAUUCCCUUCCCAGUGUUUUGCUGGGUGAAGAUAAGAA